CGCGUAGGCGGUUUUUUAAGACGGAUGUGAAAGCCCUGGGCUUAACCUGGGAAUGGCAUUGGUGACUGAGAGACUGGAGUACUGUAGAGGGUAGUGGAAUUUCCGGUGUAGCGGUGAAAUGCGUAGAGAUCGGAAAGAACACCGGUGGCGAAGGCGGCUACCUGGACAGAUACUGACGCUGAGGCGCGAGAGCGUGGGGAGCAAACAGGAUUAGAUACCCUGGUAGUCCACGCUGUAAACGAUGAAGACUGGAUGUUGGCCGGCGAAGACUGGUGAGUAUCGAAGCUAACGCGAUAAGUUUUCCGCCUGGGGAGUACGGCCGCAAGGUUAAA
Molecule: ribosomal RNA, 332 nt
Filed under: uncultured bacterium
Lineage: Bacteria
Description: bacterial SSU rRNA
Rfam family: Bacterial small subunit ribosomal RNA
Source: RNAcentral